MicroRNA precursor from Felis catus (domestic cat), 66 nucleotides. It matches the Rfam family "mir-290 microRNA precursor family". NCBI's taxonomy places the organism in Eukaryota, Metazoa, Chordata, Mammalia, Carnivora, Felidae. The record is from Rfam.
GGGAUACACAAAAUGGGGGCACUUCCCGUUCUCUGUCUGGAAAGUGCUCCCAUUUUUGUGUGUCCU